Molecule: long non-coding RNA, 3200 nt
Filed under: Eucalyptus grandis
Lineage: Eukaryota; Viridiplantae; Streptophyta; Magnoliopsida; Myrtales; Myrtaceae
Description: long non-coding RNA (EGRA_LNC007261)
Source: RNAcentral
UUCAAGGGAUGAGAGGAAAUAGACGAGAGAGAGAGAGAGAGAGAGAGGAGAGAGCUCGGAAUCGAUCCCCAAAGAAGCCCUCAGAAGCAACUCCAAAAAAGAGAAACCCAGAAAUUCUAGAUCGACCUGGAGAGAGAAAAGUGAGAUUUUCACACACCUGUGGCCAAAAUUAGCCAAAAACUUCAACUAGAGAGUGAAACUUCAUUCAAAUAUAUUUCCAACCAUAGGUCACACGUCCCAAAUGGAGAUCGGGAAGGCCUCCUAAAGCCCCCCGAAACAGUGCCCUCCUGGCGGGCCAAGAAAGUCCGAAAAUUUUUCUAAGUGUUUAGACUGGUUGGUCACGAGUGAGGGAAAGCCAGUGUUUUUUGAAAAAGUUGAGAGAUAAAUGAGGAAAAUAUUGACUUUUACCCCCAAACUAGAAUACAUACAGUUUGGCGUGGUUCAAUUUUUUCAACAAAAGACAUCUUGAAGUCUAAUGUUAGAGGUCAACGAAAACCUUCGUUGUCAGUUCUUUUUUUGCAGAUCUCAUUUCCAGUUGAAGAAGCCAACUUCCACAGGCCCCCGAGGAUAAUUUUUCGGUUUCAUCGGCCAAGAACCACUUGAAAAGGAAACUAGGAAGUAAGGUAAGCAUCCUAGAUGUACUUAUUUUCGAGUUUGAGCAUAUUUUGAUCAUGAAAAUCAAGAGAAAAACUAGCCCGGAAAACCGAUUUUUGAGGCUGAAUUUUUCUAAGUGUUUGAAAUAUCUUCAAGAGUGUUGCAUGUGUGCUUCUUGAAGAGGUCGUUUUGAUGUUGUUCGGUGGGUCAUUUUCUAUGAUGUUUGUUGCAUUUGAAAGCUCAUGUUAUCUACUUUCACUCGCAUCAAAUAGUGUUUCCCUUAGAUCUCGUAUGUGAUGAGUGUCGGGGCUUGGGUAUGGGCAUUCAACUUGUUUUCUUGACUUGGGUUCAAAUCCAGAUUUGCAAAAUUCGCUCAAACCCGCAUAUUGGAGGACGAUUUCAGCUUGGUUCUUGUGUGUUUUAGGCUAUGAUCUUUAUCUAAUCUUACUCUUUGCAUGUGUUAAUUUAACCUUGAUGUUUUAGUUCCACAUAAUAUUGCUCAUGCGUUGAGAUUAAAGACUGCAAACAUGGCCUGAGAAAGCUGAUUCGGGAUAAUUUGAUGCACGCUAAGUGUUCGAUAAAAUGCGCAAACCAAGUUUCGAUCUUGAAACGGUCGAUUUGAGCUUGGUUCUUGUUAUAUUCACGUGAUGUGUUACUCCAUGUUAGCAUAGAUCGGUUUAAGGAAUUUAUUAAUUUUUUUUAAAAAAAUAAUAAUAAUAAAAGAGAAAAAUAUGAAAAUUUCAAAAAUAUAAAUAAAAAAAAAUGUUAGAUAGCAUCAAAUUAGGAUAUAAAUGACAUAUAUGAAAUUUUCCUAAUUUUAAAAGGCCAUUUUCCUAAUUUAAUGCUAUUUUGGUAUUUUAUAACCAUUUUUGUAAAUAAUCCAUUUUGCGUAGAUUAAAACUAUCUAGCGUAAUUUCAUGCAUAUUUAAAUUUCCAUUUUGCUCACGGGGGUCCUAUCCCGGGGUGUGAUAACAAGGCCAUGUAAUAUUAUUUGCCUGACUUGUAUCGGGUUUACCUUUUUUGCGUUUAUUUUCAAGUCAUUUCAAUUUCUUGGAUGUUUACUUACGCGCUGCUUUUCAUUAAUUUGAGUGUAAAUUUCUCUUCUAAAUUAUGUUAGGAUUAGUCUAGACAUUAUAAAAAAAAACUACAAAAACAUUUGCAUGAACAUUUAGUGGUUUCAUAAAGAUUAUAAUUGGUAAUCAAGAUUGUAUGGCCAUUUAGAUAAAUAAUCUUCCAAGUUAGUGGUACCGCAAGGGCGCCAAUAGAAACAUUGGUGUAAACAAGUCCCUGUUCCUAGAAAUCUCUGGUUGCGUAUGAAUUGAGACAACACUUCCGUGUCUUGAUUAGUUUCUAGCCGACCCCAAUAGGCUAGUGGCGACUCCUAGAAUUACAUAGGUUGUUAAGAACUAAAAAAUGAAUCCAACAUCGUGCGAGGUAUGGGCUUGGGAGAGCCCGCGCCUAAUCUAGGGCCAUUGGUCCACCUCUUUAGGCAAAUACCCCUAAACCUUCUUCCUUUUCCCCCGGACGGAAAAAAAGAGGUCAUGACACAGACCUUGAAGAUGCAUUAGCAUUAUUUAAUGGCAGGGAGAAUUACUAAGAAUACCAUAAUUCUAUUGCAAUUGUGCUAAUUCAAUUCAAUUCUUUUUUUUUUUUGCCAAUUUAGUCCAUCCACCCAAUUUUGGCUGGCUGACACUAACAUAGACACCAGCUGGAACCAAUUAUGAUAAUUUUUUAAUAAUAUCUUAUUUUAUUCGAAUUUUUAUUAUUUCUUUUUUUCCUUUUUUUCUUUCUUUUUUUUUCCCCUCAUUCUUCCUUAUUCCUCUGGUUGGCAAGAUCAACCUAGCUAGCCAAUGGUGAUGUUCACCUCUACUGGCCAAUGGCGUGGCCAAGCCUCACCCAGCCAUCGCAAGGCCCGCCCUUGCCGGCCACUAGCGAGGUUGAUCAUCGCCAUGUCUAGUCGAGGCUAGACCUCGCUAGAUCUGGUGAGGGCGGCUUUGCCAUCAUUUGGCGAGGCUUGCUCUUGUCAGUGGCCAUCAAGGCUGAGCAUUGUCAUUGGUUGAGGGGGUUAGCUCCCUUAGCCAAAGAAAGAAGGAAGAAUAAGGGAAAAAAAUAUAAAAAGGGGAAAAAAAAGGGAAAAUUAAUUUAAAAAAUUCAAAAAAUAAAAUAUUAUUACAAUAUUGCCAACAUCAGUGCCAACUAACCAAAAUGGCCAAAUAGAUUGAAUCAGUAUAGAUGCAAAAAGUUUAUGACUAAAUUGGCACAAUUGUAAUAGUUUUAUAACUUUUUUGAUAAUUUUCUCUUUAAUGGUGUGACUCUGCAAAACCUCACAGAUUGUGGACAGUGGAGGAUAAAUUAGCAUUGUUAAAAACCUGCGUUGCUUUGGCAGAUCUGGAAGGGAAGAAGGAAGCCAAACUGGAGCUUUUGCGGUGGUGCCGAGGAACGCUGAUGGAUGCUCUGGAAAGCUUGGUUGUAGUUCAGCCAUGGAAAUGGAGACCCCUUUGGAGUUGUUGAUCCAACGAAAGGAGAAGAUAGUUCUCCAAGUGGGCAAUCGAACUCUGUUCAAUGCUGACCAAGUCAGAUAUCUCAUCAGUGACGGCCAGCCACUA